GCACACACACACACACACACACAGACAAUAACAGCAGCUUGAACACACACACACACUAACAUCAGCUUUGUGAACUCUGUGUGUGUGUGUGUGUGUGUGU
Xyrichtys novacula (pearly razorfish) is the source of this 100-nucleotide non-coding RNA. The record is from the annotation of a GenBank genome assembly. NCBI's taxonomy places the organism in Eukaryota, Metazoa, Chordata, Actinopteri, Labriformes, Labridae.